UACGUAGGGUGCGAGCGUUAAUCGGAAUUACUGGGCGUAAAGCGUGCGCAGGCGGUUAUGCAAGACAGAUGUGAAAUCCCCGGGCUCAACCCGGGAACUGCCUUUGUGACUGCAAGGCUGGAGUGCGGCAGAGGGGGAUGGAAUUCCGCGUGUAGCAGUGAAAUGCGUAGAUAUGCGGAGGAACACCGAUGGCGAAGGCAAUCCCCUGGGCCUGCACUGACGCUCAUGCACGAAAGCGUGGGGAGCAAACAGG
RNAcentral lists this ribosomal RNA (253 nucleotides) under uncultured bacterium. Its description in RNAcentral is "partial 16S ribosomal RNA". It matches the Rfam family "Bacterial small subunit ribosomal RNA", at positions 524 to 776 of the family's 1533-position model. The record is from RNAcentral.